GGCGUGCUUACCAUGCAGUCGAACGGUGACUCAGAGCUUGCUCUGAUGAUCAGUGGCGAACGGGUGAGUAACACGUGAGCAACCUACCCUUGACUCCGGGAUAACAGCUGGAAACAGCUGCUAAUACCGGAUACGACCUCGACCGACAUCAGUUGAGGUGGAAAGUUCUGGCGGUCAAGGAUGGGCUCGCGGCCUAUCAGCUAGUUGGUGAGGUAACGGCUCACCAAGGCUUCGACGGGUAGCCGGCCUGAGAGGGCGACCGGCCACACUGGGACUGAGAUACGGCCCAGACUCCUACGGGAGGCAGCAGUGGGGAAUAUUGCACAAUGGGCGAAAGCCUGAUGCAGCAACGCCGCGUGCGGGAUGACGGCCUUCGGGUUGUAAACCGCUUUCAGCUCCGACGAAGCGCAAGUGACGGUAGGAGCAGAAGAAGGACCGGCCAACUACAUGCCAGCAGCCGCGGUGAUACGUAGGGUCCGAGCGUUGUCCGGAAUUAUUGGGCGUAAAGGGCUUGUAGGCGGUUUGUCGCGUCGGAAGUGAAAACUCAGGGCUUAACCCUGAGCCUGCUUCCGAUACGGGCAAACUAGAGGAAUGCAGGGGAGAAUGGAAUUCCUGGUGGAGCGGUGGAAUGCGCAGAUAUCAGGAGGAACACCAGUGGCGAAGGCGGUUCUCUGGGCAUUUCCUGACGCUGAGAAGCGAAAGCGUGGGGAGCAAACAGGCUUAGAUACCCUGGUAGUCCACGCCGUAAACGGUGGGCACUAGGUGUGGGACUCAUUCCACGAGUUCCGUGCCGUAGCUAACGCAUUAAGUGCCCCGCCUGGGGAGUACGGCCGCAAGGCUAAAACUCAAAGGAAUUGACGGGGGCCCGCACAAGCGGCGGAGCAUGCGGAUUAAUUCGAUGCAACGCGAAGAACCUUACCUAGGUUUGACAUAUACCGGAAAGCUGCAGAGAUGUAGCCCCCGCAAGGUCGGUAUACAGU
Molecule: ribosomal RNA, 980 nt
Filed under: uncultured Actinomycetes bacterium
Lineage: Bacteria; Bacillati; Actinomycetota; Actinomycetes
Description: bacterial SSU rRNA
Rfam family: Bacterial small subunit ribosomal RNA
Source: RNAcentral